UACGGAGGGUGCGAGCGUUGUCCGGAAUCACUGGGCGUAAAGGGCGCGUAGGUGGCUUGGCAAGCGUGUGGUGAAAGCCCGGGGCUCAACCCCGGGUCUGCCGUGCGAACUGCUAUGGCUUGAGCACUGUAGAGGCAGGUAGAAUUCCGGGUGUAGCGGUGGAAUGCGUAGAGAUCGUAAGGAAGACCAAUGGCGAAGGCAAGUCUCUGGACAGUGACUGACGCUGAGGCACGAAGGCCAGGGGAGCAAACGGG
RNAcentral lists this ribosomal RNA (254 nucleotides) under uncultured bacterium. RNAcentral describes it as "partial 16S ribosomal RNA". It matches the Rfam family "Bacterial small subunit ribosomal RNA", at positions 524 to 776 of the family's 1533-position model. The record is from RNAcentral.